This 1363-nucleotide long non-coding RNA is filed under the name Struthio camelus australis. RNAcentral's name for it is "lncRNA (ENSSCUG00000007661.1)". The record is from RNAcentral. Lineage: Eukaryota; Metazoa; Chordata; Aves; Struthioniformes; Struthionidae.
CGGGUGCUGGACCACAGGGAACAGCACGACAAGGCCAAUGGUGAACACCACCGAGACUGUGCCGCAGAAACUGCCCGUCUCGGAUGUAGCCGAGCGCAUCGGGAAGUUCACGCUUCUGAAUGCCUUUUUUCAGCAAACACAACAAGAACCGCAGUGAAUUACGUCUUUGCUGAUGAAACCUUGCUGAUUUUUGCCGUCUGGAAGCCCAGAGCUUCAGACACCAGCACGGUGGAGGACAUGUUUGCACGGCUGAUGGCUCCUGCUGGCAGAGCUGGUCCUGCAACUUCACCUCCAGGAGCUUCAAUCAACCCAGGAACUUCAGUCAGCAUUGCCAAGGCUGUCCUCCUUUGGAGGUGGGUGUAGAUAGCUUCAUUUAGACAUUUCAAUCUCUGAAUUUCUGCAGAUCUUAAUGAGGAGAUUGCAGAGAUUGUUUGGGUCCCUCCUCACCACAGCUCCUUCCGCAACCACUCUCCUCCUGGGCACUUCAGCUCCUCCCCAGCACUGCCAAGAGCAGGUUCCUCUCUGAUGCCAUUUCACCAUUAAUAACUCAUAGCGAAACUCUUACGCAGGAACAUGUUACUUUGGAUGGAGGGUCCUUUUUAAAGCUGUUCGUAUUUUUUUUCUUCCCAUUUCUUCCUCUCCUGUUGAAGCAGAGGGAACUGCAGGGUGCUGCCAAUUCACAGCUGUCUCCAUCUUUUCUUCUCAGCUUUUAACUAAUCUCAGUAAAACCUUGGGGAAGAUCCUAACGACAUAAUGUCUGCUCAGCUCAGCUGUACACUAGGCAUCACAGUGAAUAAUUUAGUGCAACUUUCAAUGUAGUUUAUUGCACCACCUCAUUUUGCUUACAUGCGUGUAAUGUUAAUCUUAAGAAGUUGCUCUAAUUACCGACAAAUAGGAGACUCUUCCACCCCAGAUGUGGCCAGAAGAAUAGGUUAUUAAUUCAAAGAAGUGAUGUCUCCAGAAAAGGGGUUAUAGUGGGACUGUUUCCUUAAAAAAAUACUUUAUUAGAAAGCAAAGUCCACGCUUAGAUGCCAUUUAAUUAAGGCAGUCAAAGUACAAAAGGCAUACCUGAGGGAGUAACUCUUCAGAUUUUGGGAGUAAUGCGUUCAUUUCUGUAAUAUUUGCUACACAUACUACACAUUUUUCAUUAGUGUUGGCUGGACAUCAGUUUCCAAGGACUCACCACUUUGCAAUAAUUGGAUAUGUGAUUCGAGAAAUGAUAUGGCUUGAAAUUCAUGGGCCUUGCCUAAACACAUACAUACAUAGAUUGUGCUGUCUAUUGGGGGUUUAAUCAAAUGAGAUAAGGUUGCUAUUCACUAAGCAAAUUGCACGUGUUAUCUUGCGAUAGCAUGGCAUUUUGUUG